GCCACUGUAAAUACACAGCAACUCUACUGUUAUCUUGUUUUUGUUUUUGUCGGCUGUGCUGGGUCUUCGUUGCUGCAUGGACUUUUUCUCUAGUUGGAGAGAGCAGGGUCUACUCUUCAGUUGCGAUGUGCAGGCUUCUAAUUGUGAGGGUUUCUCUUGUGGAGCACGUGGGCUCCACAGCACAGGCUCAAUACUUGGGGCACUCAAGCUUAGUCGCUUCACGGCAUGUGGGAUCCUCCCGGAUCAGGGAUCAAACCUGCAUUAGCAGGUGGAUUCUUUACCACUGAACCAGCAGGGAAGCCCUACCCUCAUUUUAAAGAUGAGAAACUUCAGUUUAUGGACAUUGGCCUGAAGUGUCUUGGCUAGUAAAACCUGGAGACUGGCUGCAGAGUCAGUCCUAUCCACCUCACUUCCUAGCCUCUGUGUACAAGCAAUGGCAUUUUACACUCAAACUCCACCCAAGGAAGGGAGUGGGCAGGUGGCUUCACUCUACAGAUAACACAGCCCAGGCUGAGAUAGGAAGUGAAGGCAAAGCUGGGACAUACAUGAACACUGGGCCAAGGACUCCGGAACUUGGGCCUUCCCCCCCUGCCCCCCAGUCUCUCAUGCCUGCUGAGCAGCCAGGCCGGGUGUGUGCCCACAGCCCCUCCCAUGGCACUCUGAACUCCUUGAGGGUGGGGCUAGACUUAGCUAGCUUGGCUUCCCCUCCAUCUGCUCCUGAGCACAAUGAAAGGUGGAUUUAUAGGAAAAGGAAGCAGGACUGAUUUCAUGGUUUGGCUGUGCCAGUCUUAGUUGCUGCACUCAGGAUCUUCGAUCAUUGUUGCAACAUGCAAGUACCAGAGGAUACAGCGGGGCCGGUGGGGCCUACGAGACCUCGACUGAGAUGCUCAAAGGUCAAGGCGCAGACAAGCAGUAGGAGCUCAGCACGACUAAGCCUGAGUCGCAGAAGACGAGGCGCAUGCGCACUGGGGACAGCUCCAAGAGGGCCCUGUGG
Long non-coding RNA from Bos taurus (domestic cattle), 994 nucleotides. The record is from Ensembl. Lineage: Eukaryota; Metazoa; Chordata; Mammalia; Artiodactyla; Bovidae.